UACAGAGGGUGCAAGCGUUAAUCAGAAUGACUGGGCGUAAAGGGCGUGUAGGUGGUUGACUAGGUUUGAUGUGAAAUCCCCGGGCUUAACCUGGGAAUGGCGUCGAAAACGGGUUGACUAGAGUAAGAGAGAGGGUUGUGGAAUUUCCGGUGUAGCGGUGAAAUGCGUAGAUAUCGGAAAGAACAUCAGUGGCGAAGGCGACAACCUGGCUCUUAACUGACACUGAGGCGCGAAGGCGUGGGGAGCAAACAGG
Molecule: ribosomal RNA, 253 nt
Filed under: uncultured bacterium
Lineage: Bacteria
Description: partial 16S ribosomal RNA
Rfam family: Bacterial small subunit ribosomal RNA
Source: RNAcentral